UAUAAAUAUAACGAAGGCCUUGGGGAAUGGGAGCAUUUCUAAAUGACUUGAAGCUCUGUCACGGCAUAAUCUCUUAUAAAUAAAUGUCAGUGUAGUCACUGAAUGCAGACUGGAUUUUUGCCUGACUACGGUGCUCAGCCUUCUAGACAAUAGUUAUGCUAAGGGAUUAUCUUUUAACAUUGUGCAGUUAUCUCCUUUGUUUGUUUUCUUUUUUCAUUAUUCACAUAAGCCAAGGGAAAUGAAAAGCAUCUUAUUUCAGGCAAAAAGGCCUGUGAAUGAUUAACUCUGGUUCCAUGCGUUGGGACUUUGCAUAGCAACCCCGUGGCUUGCAACGACAAAAAAGCUCAAGGCAGGAACAGCAGCCCAGGGACCUGAGACCAGCGUUCUCAAAUGAAGCCAGAUCUGCUGUUAGAGGAGAAUUCUUCUGUCCUAGCUGUGUCUCUGUGAUCUGUGGAUGAGGGUGGGAAAGCACCACUCAGUCAAUUGGGGUGUACAAAAUGGAGUUUGAGAAGGUCUCACAUCCAGGUUGUUUUGAAGCAAAGUCCAAGCAUUGUAUCACUUCAUCUGCAAAUAUUUCAAUAAGUACCCAAAAGUGGUUGGACUGAGUCCCAUGAAGCCAGAUCACUUCUGACUGCAAGGAGCUUGGAAAAGCAAGUAUCUGGAUCUUUUACCAGCUAAAUUUGGAGAAUUAUUGAUCAAAUUUGGAUCUCUGUGUGCUGUCCUCCAAUUUAAUACUUUCUGUGUUGCUGUUUUAUUUUCUUUCUUCUGGAACCUGGCAAAGUGCGUCAAGCGAUGAGGCUUCCUCUUUGAAGAUCACAGGUGAGAAGAUUAGGUGCUUUCUCAGAAGCCCAGCAACCUGAUGGGAGUGUGGAGUGAGCAAGACCCAAAUCGGAGCUUCAUCCCUGCAUGGUUCAUUUUGCUUAUUUGGCAAACUUGCCCUGCAGAAUCUACUCAAGCUUCCUCAGUUUCUCAAAUCAUUCUUGGGCAACAAAUGAACAAGAAAGAGGACGUCUUAUUAUCUGGUGUCUGGCUUGCUGAUUUAAUAACCUAGGAGACAGUGUUUGAAGAACACAAACUCUAAAGUCCUUCACUUAAAAAAAAAAAAAAACUUUCCCAAAUUGCUUACCAUUUGGAAAAAUUGCCUUACCUUCUUCAGUCAUCUCUGAUGUUGUCAUCCUCAGAGUAAGAAGUACGCAUUCAUAAGGAACCAUAACGUCCUUCAGGAAAUCCAGUACACCCUACAAUUUUACCUAAAACUUUGAUGUUGUUUUUUCUGAGCAUUUUACCUUCUAGGGAAAUGGAUCUCAUGCUGUUUAUCAGUUUCUGAAAGUUGUUAUUAAUCUCCCCUCAUCCCAAAAUUGAAGAACUUUGCUUAAAUCUUAGAAUCAGAACUUUGGCUCCAGUAAUAAAGACUUUUCAAUAUCUUUAUCUGCCAUUGAGUCUUACCUAACGAAAUAAAGCCUCCAAAGUGGGAAUUUGAAAUGUUUUAGAAUCUUUUUUUUUCCUUUUGACAUAGUGAUUGGUGGGAUGCUACAGGCAGUUAGUGGUUAGGGUCCAGAAAUGCC
This 1565-nucleotide long non-coding RNA is filed under the name Homo sapiens (human). RNAcentral's name for it is "HSALNT0321888". The record is from RNAcentral. Lineage: Eukaryota; Metazoa; Chordata; Mammalia; Primates; Hominidae.